RNAcentral lists this ribosomal RNA (450 nucleotides) under uncultured bacterium. Its description in RNAcentral is "partial 16S ribosomal RNA". It matches the Rfam family "Bacterial small subunit ribosomal RNA", at positions 354 to 796 of the family's 1533-position model. The record is from RNAcentral.
GUGGGGAAUAUUGGACAAUGGGCGAAAGCCUGAUCCAGCCAUGCCGCGUGUGUGAAGAAGGUCUUCGGAUUGUAAAGCACUUUAAGUUGGGAGGAAGGGCAGUAAGUUAAUACCUUGCUGUUUUGACGUUACCGACAGAAUAAGCACCGGCUAACUUCGUGCCAGCAGCCGCGGUAAUACGAAGGGUGCAAGCGUUAAUCGGAAUUACUGGGCGUAAAGCGCGCGUAGGUGGUUCAGCAAGUUGGAGGUGAAAUCCCCGGGCUCAACCUGGGAACUGCCUCCAAAACUACUGGGCUAGAGUACGGUAGAGGGUAGUGGAAUUUCCUGUGUAGCGGUGAAAUGCGUAGAUAUAGGAAGGAACACCAGUGGCGAAGGCGACUACCUGGACUGAUACUGACACUGAGGUGCGAAAGCGUGGGGAGCAAACAGGAUUAGAAACCCCAGUAGUCC